Molecule: long non-coding RNA, 596 nt
Organism: Anthonomus grandis grandis
Lineage: Eukaryota; Metazoa; Arthropoda; Insecta; Coleoptera; Curculionidae
Exons: 2
Source: RefSeq, a predicted model, not a curated record
UCUAAUAUGCGUUUUGGUUAUCAUGAAUAAAUAGUACUUAUACAUAUAUAACUACUGUCCAAAACGAAACACCGUGGCUGUAAUGAAUUUGCGUUAGCAUUGAAGCAAAGGUCGUGAAAAACUUUAAAAGCAUCUCCUGAAAAGUGACAAAAAAUUAGUUACACCACUUCGUGAUAUUGACGACGAUAUUGGCGUAAAUUCAUUAAAUUUAGAUGAAUUUUAAUAAAUAAGGUUGACAUACUAUUGAGUAAAUUUUAAAGGAAAAGCAGCCCAUAUAUACACUACCGGCCAAAAGUGGAGAAACACUUUACUUUUUUUACUUUAAUGGUAAUAAAUCUUUAAAAUUUAACAACCUUGUAAAACUAUAUUUGCUGAACUAUAUUAAUCUUCGCUAACGCUAUUUAAAAAUGUUACAACAUUCUUUAUCUUAUCUUGUCUCUUUUUUUGUUUUUUUCCUUGUAACUUAAUAAUGAAACCAUGAAUUUAUUUGCAUUUUUUUAUAUUGAUUGAUUUAAAUUUUUAAGUUUUUUUUUUAAAUAUGUAAUAUAUUAUGUAUUACCUUUUGUAGCUCAAGCUAAAUAAAUACAUUAUUAUUA